ACUCCUACGGGAGGCAGCAGUGGGGAAUAUUGCACAAUGGGCGCAAGCCUGAUGCAGCCAUGCCGCGUGUGUGAAGAAGGCCUUCGGGUUGUAAAGCACUUUCAGUCGUGAGGAAGGUAGUGUAGUUAAUAGCUGCAUUAUUUGACGUUAGCGACAGAAGAAGCACCGGCUAACUCCGUGCCAGCAGCCGCGGUAAUACGGAGGGUGCGAGCGUUAAUCGGAAUUACUGGGCGUAAAGCGCAUGCAGGUGGUUUGUUAAGUCAGAUGUGAAAGCCCGGGGUCUCAACCUCGGAAUAGCAUUUGAAACUGGCAGACUAGAGUACUGUAGAGGGGGUAGAAUUUCAGGUGUAGCGGUGAAAUGCGUAGAGAUCUGAAGGAAUACCGGUGGCGAAGGCGGCCCCCUGGACAGAUACUGACACUCAGAUGCGAAA
Molecule: ribosomal RNA, 431 nt
Filed under: uncultured bacterium
Lineage: Bacteria
Description: bacterial SSU rRNA
Rfam family: Bacterial small subunit ribosomal RNA
Source: RNAcentral